Molecule: ribosomal RNA, 497 nt
Filed under: uncultured bacterium
Lineage: Bacteria
Description: partial 16S ribosomal RNA
Rfam family: Bacterial small subunit ribosomal RNA
Source: RNAcentral
GAUGAACGCUGGCGGCGUGCCUAAUACAUGCAAGUCGAGCGAACAGACGAGGAGCUUGCUCCUCUGACGUUAGCGGCGGACGGGUGAGUAACACGUGGAUAACCUACCUAUAAGACUGGGAUAACUUCAGGAAACCGGAGCUAAUACCGGAUAAUAUAUUGAACCGCAUGAUUCAAUAGUGAAAGACGGUUUUGCUGUCACUUAUAGAUGGAUCCGCGCCGCAUUAGCUAGUUGGUAAGGUAACGGCUUACCAAGGCGACGAUGCGUAGCCGACCUGAGAGGGUGAUCGGCCACACUGGAACUGAGGCACGGUCCAGACUCCUACGGGAGGCAGCAGUAGGGAAUCUUCCGCAAUGGGCGAAAGCCUGACGGAGCAACGCCGCGUGAGUGAUGAAGGUCUUCGGAUCGUAAAACUCUGUUAUUAGGGAAGAACAAAUGUGUAAGUAACUAUGCACGUCUUGACGGUACCUAAUCAGAAAGCCACGGCUAACUACGUG